GCAGGUGGGACCGUCUUCUUGUGUGUAGUCUACUAUACUAACAGAAAUAAAUUUGGAGAGCAGGGAAAGCUUGGAGUCUGGGGCACAGUUACUCUUUGCCAUCUUUCAGAAAGUCCUGAGACUAUGGCUUGUGCGAAAGGGACCCUCUCGACGGGGAGAGGUCAACGGCUUUCACAGCCCUGGCAGGAUGAGUAACAACAGUUAGGUAAGCAGUUUUCUUCCACUUUGGCAAAUCAGAGCAGUUCCGGAUUUGUGGGGUACUAGUGGGCUUGUAAGAUGCUAACUUUCCGGAGGUGGUUGUUGCCAUGCGCCCCGUACCUGGGAUCAGGCUACUUUGAAGGUUAAUUGUCAUGUCACUGAUCUGCAGCUGAAAGAGGGCCCUUGCAGAUCUGGGAAAAGAGAUACCAUCAACACCGGUUUCUGCAGAGCCCUGAGCACAGCACGUCAAGCAGGAGAGGAAGGCAAGUAGAGGGGGCUGCUGCAGGAAGUUUGCCCACCGUGAGCAGCUGGGAGAUUGUGUUUUUAUAGCUGGCGAACCUACAUCUUUGUGUAGAACAGGGAGCAUAAGAUUGAUACCAGUUACUCAAACUGCAAACCAUGCUGGAGACAAAAGCAGGACCUCAGUUGUCGUGGAUUAAGACUUUACGAGGUGAACCCCCCUGAACUUUGCCCAUAACAAGGGGAAAGUCCUUGGGAUCUGACCCGCUUUGGAACUACCAGAAACUUCUUCUGGACACUCCCUUUUGACUUGAAUGCCUUUCCACUCCUUUGAACAAUUUAUUUUAUUUAUGGAUCGUAUGUAAUAACAAGAAUAAACAAAAAUUAUUUAUGAAACACCAGCAAUAUGUACAAUGUUAUGCUAGGCCUUGUAGGGGAUGCAAAGAAAAUUAUGAAAUGUACACUUUCGUAAGUCUUAAUGCUUUCCAAAAUGCUUUCAGAUCCUUGCAUGAUUUCACCCUUAUAACAUUACUCUGCUUAGCCUUUCCAGGAAGGUUUCUCCCAUUAACUUUACUUUGCUAUUUUUAUUCGAAUACCUAUAUGUAUCAGUUUUUGAAGUU
This is a long non-coding RNA of Lynx canadensis (Canada lynx), 1058 nucleotides long. RefSeq lists it as uncharacterized. The transcript is spliced from 3 exons. The record is from RefSeq and is a predicted model, not a curated record. Lineage: Eukaryota; Metazoa; Chordata; Mammalia; Carnivora; Felidae.